CCCUAUAGUCACUUUCUGAGAUGCCAGUAGAUUGAAGAAAUAUUGGAGGACGAUGAAGGUCUUAACAAUGGUACACAAAUCAAUAAAGUUGACAUAGCAGUAUAUUUGUGCACAGUUUUUCUACUUAUGAGGUGAAUUUAUUACCAUGAAAUAUGUAUUCCGCCCACCCAAAGGACAUAUUGGAAUCAAAGAGAUAGUACUUGCACAACAUUUUAAAGUGUGAAUAUAUCUUCUCCAGUCAAUGAGAAUUUAUGUUAAAACAAAAAGAAAAAAGAAAUUUCAGGCUCUGUUAAUUAUGCAGAACAAAGGCAGUGCUCAAAUGUGCUCCAAUUCUUCUAGGACUUAUGCUAUCCUCCAGUGAUAAGGGCAGACUCCUUUAAAAAGUUGUAUUAAUUCUCUCAGAUCUCCAGGGUGCUAUCUAGCAAGUAAAAAUCUUUUGUACCAGAUACUUCUCUCUGCUUUUCACACUAGUGGGAGCAACUGGAAUAAAACUGACAACAUCAGGGUAACUCUCUGCAUUCCCCGAAACCUGUUUUUUGCCUUCACAUUCUUAUAGCUAUUUUUAGCUGUUUGUGUGGACAAGAGCAGUUCUUCAAUCAUCAUGUUGGAAACAGCAGGCUUCAUGCCUUGGCUUUGCAGGCAGCUUGUUAGGGGCACUACCGGAGAUCAGAGUCCAGAAUAAAGCAGGAUCUUAUUUACAGUUUAAAUUAAUGAUCAUCCAUUGGCUGUUUCCCUGCAAGCCUGCUGUAAAUUACAGCAGCUUUUCUUGGCUAGGCCUGUUACAGUAAAAACUGUAAUCUCAACAUACAUCAGUGUAAGAAAUCUUGACUAAGAGAUAGAAAGAGGGGUCCUAGGUAUUAGCCUAGAUCGUGCAUACUCUCUUUUAAAGGAGACCUGCAUCUGGCCGCUGAUAUAUGAGGUUGGUCCAAAAGAAAAGGCUGAGUGGUCCUAGUGCCAGAGGAAAGGCAGGCUGGCUGUCACCAUGUCUCAGAGGGAGAACAGUUUCCCCCACCCCAUUCAUGAUAAAUCCCAAGGCUUGUUUGUGUCAGCAGAGGUUUAUUGGUCACCUACAGUCUGCUAUAAGAAAAGAUGAUUUAACCUGUACCGGAAAGGAACAGCUGGGAUGCAGAAGGUGAUGGGAAGAACUAAUACAAAUGUAGCAAAGAAAAAAACAAAAAAAAAGUUGGUUGGGCACGGUGACUCACGCCGGUAAUCCCAGCACUUUGGAAGGCUGAGGCAGGAGGAUCACGAGGGCAGGAGAUUGAGACCAUACUGGCUAACACGGUGAAACCCCAUCUCUACUAAAAAUACAAAAAAGUGUGGUGGUGGGCGCCUGUAGUCCCAGCUACUCAGGAAGCUGAGGCAGGAGAAUGGCGUAAACCUGGGACGCAGAGCUUGCAGUGAGCUGAGAUCGCGCCCCUGCACACCAGCCUGGGCGACAGAGUGAGGCUCCGUCUCAAAAAAAAAAAAAAAAAUUGAAAUCUCUGUUUUAUUCUCAAAUUCUCUCUGAGUUGACAUGUAUUCUGCCUAAAAAGAAAACUUCUAUAGACUCUGUGUGUCUUUAUCAGCCAUACCUUUCCCAUCACCGCCAACCAACCUGAGCUGUUCUCCUUUCACAAGGGAUCGUGUAACAUCUUCAAGGAUUAAAGAAUAUAAAACCACUAGUAGAAUUCACUAGGGAAUGAAAGGAAAAAAA
Macaca fascicularis (crab-eating macaque) is the source of this 1696-nucleotide long non-coding RNA. The record is from Ensembl. NCBI's taxonomy places the organism in Eukaryota, Metazoa, Chordata, Mammalia, Primates, Cercopithecidae.